GCUGGGCGUGGUGGCUCACGCCUGUAAUCCCAGCACUUUGGGAGGCUGAGGCGGGUGGAUCACCUGAGGUCAGGAGUUUCAGACCAGCCUGGCCAACAUGGUGAAACCCUGUCUCUA
RNAcentral lists this non-coding RNA (117 nucleotides) under Homo sapiens (human). Lineage: Eukaryota; Metazoa; Chordata; Mammalia; Primates; Hominidae. The record is from Rfam by way of RNAcentral.